CUGGGCUCGAACGGCUCACGAAAGUUCGUGGAAACACGGAUUUCCCGCAAGGGACGGGAGUCGAGGUGCUGCAUGGCUGUCGUCAGCUCGUGUCGUGAGAUGUUGGGUUAAGUCCCGCAACGAGCGCAACCCUCGUCCUGUGUUGCUAACCGAAAGGUGCACUCUCAGGAGACUGCCGGCGAUAAGCUGGAGGAAGGUGGGGAUGACGUCAAGUCAUCAUGGCCUUUAUGUCCAGGGCUACACACGUGCUACAAUGGGCGGUACAGAGCGCGGCAAACCCGCGAGGGGGAGCAAAUCGCAAAAAACCGCUCUCAGUUCGGAUCGCAGGCUGCAACUCGCCUGCGUGAAGCUGGAAUCGCUAGUAAUGGCGUAUCAGAAUGACGCCGUGAAUACGUUCCC
This 399-nucleotide ribosomal RNA is filed under the name uncultured bacterium. Its description in RNAcentral is "bacterial SSU rRNA". It matches the Rfam family "Bacterial small subunit ribosomal RNA", at positions 975 to 1375 of the family's 1533-position model. The record is from RNAcentral.